Papio anubis (olive baboon) is the source of this 2027-nucleotide long non-coding RNA. The record is from Ensembl. NCBI's taxonomy places the organism in Eukaryota, Metazoa, Chordata, Mammalia, Primates, Cercopithecidae.
UAUGCAGGCUUUCUUUGAAGGAAUCAAACCCAGUAGAUUCACAAUAUCUGAUUCUAGGUAUAUGCAAUCAUGUAUUAUUUCCUCAACUGGGAGUUUACCAAGCUCAGGAUUUAUAAAUCACACUGCCAUGAACAGUUUUGGAGCCUUCAUCAUACAACUGCUUUUGGAGACUUCAUCAUAAAUUCUUUGCGAAAGCUGAUGUCCAGAAUGGUAUUAGCAGAGAUGAAGUUUUACCACGUUGCUCAGGCUAGUAUGGAACUCCUGACCUCAAGUGAUCCACCUGCCUUGGCCUCUCAAAGUGCUGGAAUUACGGCUGUGAGCCACCGCGCCCUGCCCAAGGACCAGUUCUAAAUGCAGUAAAACCAAAAAUGUAAAUAUAUAAGUGCAAGUCUAUCAGAAUGUGGGUAGAAUCUGUAUGAUGUAAACUAUAAAAGACUGAUGAAAGACGCAUAAAAUCAUAAUCACAAACUGAAUCUUACUGUAGGUCAACUUCAAAAUAACUUUUUCAAAUAUGAUAAAGAAAUAUAGAAAUUAGAAAUUAUAAUUCAUCCAUCCAAUAAUCGAUCAAGGCUGGAAAACUCUAUUUUUCUCCUGUCUUUUCUUAAUUUUGUAAAACACUGUGGGUUACUGAAAACAUCCUAAGAAGAGUAACCGGUCCUUGACUUGGAAAAAGUCAUAUGCCUUUCAGGAGGACAGAUAUAUAAGCAACAAUUGAGUAAUCAUUAUGGCACAGUCAUAUAAUACAGUGCUGAGGAGAAGACUUGAGGCAACGUUCAUUGUCCUCUGCUGGGCUAGGGUAGUUGUGCGGAGAGAACACUAAAUGCUGAAGGCAAAAAAGGAGUUGCCAUUUGAGAUGACAUUAUUCCAGAGUAAGGAAGACAGGAGGGAAUUACGUAAACACUCUUUGUUCCUUAUUUCCACUACUCUUGUAGUCCAGAUCCUGGGAGAAAUGUUCAACAGUAGCAUACUUAUUCUCCCCCGAGCUGCUUCCAGCCAACAACUGUACAGCAGGGACACCAAAUCAGGUGUAUCACAGGGAGACAUGGGACCCAUCUGAAAGCCAGCUUUAGCUUGAGUGCUCCCCAGCAGUUGUGCCAACCUUCCUUAGACUUCAUAGGAGGUCUAGGACACCUCCCUCCACCCUUUCUUCCCUCUCUCCACUCAGGGGUAGGUUCAUUUCAUGAUUUGACAGGUUUUUUUUUUUUUUUUUUCUUUUAGCUUGUCCUGGCUCAUUUUCUUCUUCACAGUUAUUUUAUUAGUUAAAUCUUGCAUGCUUAACCUCAUUUUGGUAUCCUCUUCUGAAAAGACACACACUAAUACAGUCAGCCACUGCACCCUGCCCAAGGACCAGUUCUAAAUGCAAUAACAUCAAAAAAGUAAAUAUGUAAGUGCAAGUCUAACAGAAUGUGGGUUGAAUCUGUAUGAUGUAAACUAUGAAAGACUGAUGAAAGAUGCAUGAAAUUACAAUCACAAGCUUAAUCUGAUUAUACAACUCCCUAUCAUACAACCACAAACUGAAAAGACACACACUCCUUUGCCUAUUUUGUUUCUCACAUUUGCCUCAAAAAUACAUGUGUUCCUCAUUAUUCUGUUUAUAGUGCCCUGUUUCCUCCCAUCCUAGUAGCAGCUGACAGUUUCCCCCACAGCGUUUAUCUACUACAACGAAAAUGUGUCUUCCUACUAGUUCCUUUUUUUCUUUUCUUUAGAGAUAAGGUCUGUCUCUGUUACCCGGGCUGAAGUGCAGUGGUGUGAUCAUAGCUCACAGCAGCUUUAAACUCCUGUGCUCAAGCAAUCCUCCCACCCUAGUCUCCUGAGUAGCUGGGACUACAGGCACAUGCCACCAUGCUGAGCUAAUUUAAAGGUUUUUUUUCAGAGAUGGGGUUUCACUAUGUUGCUCAGGCUGGUCUCAAACUCCUGGCAUCAAGUGAUCCUCCAACCUAACCCUCCCAAAGUGGUGGAAUUACGAGGGUGAGCUACCAUGUUCAGCCCUAUACUAGAUCAUUCUUUUGGUCUCUACAUAUAAUUUU